Non-coding RNA from Agelaius phoeniceus (red-winged blackbird), 665 nucleotides. NCBI's taxonomy places the organism in Eukaryota, Metazoa, Chordata, Aves, Passeriformes, Icteridae. The record is from the annotation of a RefSeq genome assembly.
GGGCUGCGGGCGGCCGUGACCCUGCUGGAGCCCGGGGGCACCUCCAGCCCCCCGGGGGCUCCCUGCGCCUCCUCUGCCGCGGCUCCGGCUUCGAUUUUGGACAAUUUGGGAUGGGCUGGAUGCGCCAGAGGCCCGGGCAGGGGCUGGAAUACGUCGCCAGUACCAACACUGGUGGCAGCACCGACUACGCGUCCUCAGUCAAGGGCCGGUUCAGGAUCUCGAGGGACAACGGGCAGAGCUCGGUGACGCUGACCAUGAACAGCCUCAAGGACGAGGAUUCCGGCUCCUAUUUCUGUGCCAAAUAUGCUGCUGGUGGUUAUUGGGGUAAUGCUGCUGCUGCUUUUCGUUUUGACCCCAUCCCUGUCUCUGUGUCCCCCCUGUCCCCGUGCCCCAGGCCCUUCCCUCCAACCCCUGACCCCUCUCCUCACCCUUUCUCCCACCCUUGCCCUGCUCUGGCCCCAAAUCUCAGCUCCUGGCCCCAAAUCAGGGCCGGUUCCACGCUCAGCUCAGCCUCGGCCCCCAAAUCCCAACCGUUGCCCCCAGACUUGUCCAGUUUUACCCCAAAUCUCCCCUGCUGGCACCGAGUCACAGCCACAGACCCAAAUCUGGCCCGUUGGCCUCACAUCGGGACUGUUGGGCCAAAAUUUAAAAUCUUGACACCAUAA